RNA transcript from Gadus macrocephalus (Pacific cod), 2401 nucleotides. RefSeq lists it as uncharacterized. The record is from RefSeq and is a predicted model, not a curated record. NCBI's taxonomy places the organism in Eukaryota, Metazoa, Chordata, Actinopteri, Gadiformes, Gadidae. The transcript has 9 exons.
CCAGUUUUAAAGUGACUAUUUUGAGCAAGGCUUCAAAAACCAUUGUUUUUUUAUGUGAUACGUCAAACGCGUCAUAUUACGUAGGAAUUGGUAGACGCGGUCGCUGUUGCUGCCUCAGCUCUAUGCGUAGUUGUGAGUAGUUACCGCGGUGAGCGGUCUUGUAUUCACCCCCCCUGUGGUUUUUGGGUUUUUCUAAUCGGUGAGAUGAGGUUUUGUAUCUGUGGGGGUUGUUCCAACUCCGACCUCCUGUCCGACCAUCUCAGAUUUCACAGUUUCCCCGAUCGGAGAAAGGAUGGAGCAGCCUUUCGAGCCUGGGUGCAUUUUGUACAGGUGAAGAGAAAGGACUUUCUUUUCGCCUCUGUCACCAAAUACUCGUUCAUUUGCGCGGCUCACUUUAGACCAGAGGACUAUGUUUCCGGGGACAUGAUGGAGUUCAAGAUGGGUUUUCGGAGCGAGAAACGAGUGAGGCUGAAAGCCGGUGUGGUUCCCUCAAUUCAUGCCGCUCCAGCCGCAGCUUCGGGCUCAGCCACCGGCGGCAGUGAAGAUCACGGACCGGUCAGAGAUUCAACGAUUCGGAAACGUGAACUGUGCACUUUGCUGGGAAAUACGGCACGUUUUGAAGCCACAGAUGCGCCUACAGCCAGUGAAGACUCGGAGCAAGAGGCCGUCGCUUCCCUGGCUUCUCAGCCAAAAUCUGUGCUUCACUUUGGCUCACAGUGUCACAUAAGACCUCCUUAUCGUUCAUCAGCUAUCCAGGUACAGACACAGACGGUCAGUGUGGGGACACAGACCGAACUCUGUGUAUCAUCAAUUCCACUGCCCAGUCCAGUACAAACAGAGGAUGAAUCAUCCUCUGUUUCAAGAGAUCAACCAGAUGACAGGUCAUGGAGUGAAGUGGAAGAGAUGAGCGUGUCAUCUUCUGAGGAGGAGUCAGAGCCACAGCAGGGUUGUCAGUGGGACUUCGGAGUUGCAGACAAGUUCAUUGUCUGUCUCACCCAGCUGAUGGCUCUCUUCACCAUUUGUCCUGCCUGUUGUGGGGAAACCCAUGGUAACGUGGAGCAGCAGCAGGGAACAUUUGUUCAGAUCAAGCAAGUCUGUGCAGCUUGUGGGUUCGAGCGUGUCUGGCAGAACCAGCCAGUGCUGCAUAGAAACAUGCCAGCCUGCAACCUGAUGCUUAGUGGGGCCAUCCACUUUUCUGGUUGUAUGGCUACACAAACACUUAGGAUGUUAAAACUGUUUGGCCUUCAAUGUUUUACUGCAAACACAUUCUUCCGCCAUCAACGCCUUUACACAAUUCCCACCAUUGUGCAGGCGUGGAAGAAUGAGCAAGCUGGCAUAGUCAGCCAGCUGAAGGAGAUGGGGGGGGGUCUAAUCCUCUCAGGUGACUGCAGGUAUAACACCUCGCUUGUAUACUUUUAUAUGUUACCGUUACGUGCCGUAGUGUGUUGGUUUUGGGCUUGUUUCGUUUUGUGUUUUGUGUUCAGGCUUGCCCCGUACCGGUGACCGCCAGCAGCAUAGGACCAGCUUCUAUUGGUCGCCAGUGAGGGUGCCGUGUGUUGUUUGCUGAUCCUUGCCAAAUCUUUGCAUGUGUCCCGUCUUCGCGUGUGGAGAUCGCCUUCAGUUUAUUUUUGUGGUUCUGAGUAGCUAAGUAACAGUAUCCAUUGCAGUGUUUUUUGGCUUAAAUGUUUUAAUUAAUUAAGCUAUUCAUCAUGACAUUCAUAGGUCAGACUCUCCUGGUCAUUGUGCCAAGUAUGGGACCUACACCGUGAUUGAGGACCGCAUCAACAGGGUUUUGGAUCUUCAACUUGUCCAAAGCUCAGAGGUACCAAGCAGCAACUGGUGUGAGCUGGAGGGUUUGAAGCGAACCAUAGCAUUUCUCAAGGAGCAACACUUGCAAGUUUCAGCCCUUAUUACCGACAGAAAUCGCCAGGUUGCCAAGUGGGUGCGGGAGGAGUUGUGCCCUGAAGGAACAAGUCACUUCUUUGACAUCUGGCAUGUUGGUAAAAGCAUAGGAAAAGCGCUAGAUGCUGCUGCAAAGGAGAGGGGUUGUGAGGACCUUAAGCUGUGGAGGCCAUCGAUUGUCAACCACCUAUACUGGACUGCAGCUUCCACACCUAAUGGGGAUCCAAAUGUAAUGGAGGCCAAGUGGCAAAGCAUGGUGAACCAUGUUCAGGACAUCCAUGAACAUGACAGUCCUGGAUUUCCCUCCUGUGCACAUCUCCCUUUGGAGGGAGAAGCAAGGAACAAGCAGUGGCUGGAACCAGGAUCAACUGUAGCUAUUAAGUUGGAGAGUGUCACUACAAGAACAGCAUUGUUGAAGGAUGUUCGGCAGUUGUCCCCACAGCAUCAGACCUUUUCCCUGGAGGCCUUUCACUCGCUUAUCCUCCACUUUGCACCUAAG